UGCGCAGGCGGACCCAUCAGUCAGUGGUGAAAUCUCUCGGCUCAACCGGGAAACUGCCAUUGAUACUGUAGGUCUUGAGUUUGGUUGAAGUGGGCGGAAUGUAGCAUGUAGCGGUGAAAUGCAUAGAUAUGCUACAGAACACCGAUCGCGAAGGCAGCUCGCUAAACCAAAACUGACGCUCAGGCACGAAAGCGUGGGUAGCGAACAGGAUUAGAUACCCUGGUAGUCC
This 229-nucleotide ribosomal RNA is filed under the name uncultured bacterium. Its description in RNAcentral is "partial 16S ribosomal RNA". It matches the Rfam family "Bacterial small subunit ribosomal RNA", at positions 568 to 796 of the family's 1533-position model. The record is from RNAcentral.